GACGAACGCUGGCGGCGUGCUUAACACAUGCAAGUCGAGCGGUAAGGCUCCUUCGGGAGUACACGAGCGGCGAUCGGGUGAGUAACACGUGAGCAAUCUGCCCUUCACACGGGGAUAACCCUCGGAAACGAGAGCUAAUACCCGCUACGACCACUUCAGGCAUCUGAUGGUGGUGGAAAGUUCCGGCGGUGAAGGAUGAGCUCGCGGCCUAUCAGCUUGUUGGGGGGGUAACGGCCCACCAAGGCAACGACGGGUAGCCGGCCUGAGAGGGUGACCGGCCACACUGGGACUGAGACACGGCCCAGACUCCUGCGGGAGGCAGCAGUGGGGAAUAUUGGACAAUGGGCGAAAGCCUGAUCCAGCAACGCCGCGUGAGGGAUGACGGCCUUCGGGUUGUAAACCUCUUUCAGCAGGGACGAAGCGCAAGUGACGGUACCUGCAGAAGAAGCACCGGCCAACUACGUGCCAGCCGCCGCCGUAA
This 481-nucleotide ribosomal RNA is filed under the name uncultured bacterium. RNAcentral describes it as "partial 16S ribosomal RNA". It matches the Rfam family "Bacterial small subunit ribosomal RNA", at positions 28 to 523 of the family's 1533-position model. The record is from RNAcentral.